RNAcentral lists this ribosomal RNA (485 nucleotides) under uncultured bacterium. RNAcentral's name for it is "bacterial SSU rRNA". It matches the Rfam family "Bacterial small subunit ribosomal RNA", at positions 8 to 507 of the family's 1533-position model. The record is from RNAcentral.
AGAGUUUGAUCAUGGCUCAGGAUGAACGCUGGCGGCGUGCCUAAUACAUGCAAGUCGAGCGAACCACUUCGGUGGUGAGCGGCGAACGGGUGAGUACACGUAGGUUAUCUGCCCAUCAGACGGGGACAACGAUUGGAAACGAUCGCUAAUACCGGAUAGGACGAAAGUUUAAAGGUGCUUCGGCACCACUGAUGGAUGAGCCUGCGGCGCAUUAGCUAGUUGGUAGGGUAAAGGCCUACCAAGGCGACGAUGCGUAGCCGACCUGAGAGGGUGAACGGCCACACUGGGACUGAGACACGGCCCAGACUCCUACGGGAGGCAGCAGUAGGGAAUCUUCGGCAAUGGGCGAAAGCCUGACCGAGCAACGCCGCGUGAAUGAUGAAGGCCUUCGGGUUGUAAAAUUCUGUUAUAAGGGAAGAAUGGCUCUAGUAGGAAAUGGCUAGAGUGUGACGGUACCUUAUGAGAAAGCCACGGCUAACUACGUG